AGCCUCCUCCUGCAGCUGCUGCUGGAAUAGUGAAAGUGUUGGUUUGAACCUCAGAAGGAAACAGACUCAUAAGCUACCCAUAUAAAUGUAAUCUAUAAAACAAUGGUUUUCACCCAUGAUCCUUUAAAAUAUAUAUUUUUAAGCUCUAACUCUUGAGAUUCUGAUUCUCCAGGCAGGGCCCCACUUUGUAGAUUUUUAGCACACUCUGGAGGAUUCUAUGGUGGGACCAGAACAAGGACCCCAAUUUUCUAGCUCUUGACUGGAGCCUCCCCAUACCCUGCAUGAUCCCUAGACCAUGGUCCCGGCCGGAUGGGGAUCCCACAACCCCCGGGGCUGCAACCGCUUGCCUGUGGCAGCAGGGGCUUGGCCCUCUCCACCUUUCUUUCUAGCUCCUUUAUGUUGAGCUGGAUCUCAGACUUUUGAGUCUCUUGAAGUCGAACUUUUUCUUCUAAUUUGAUAUUUUUCUCCUUCAGCUCCUCAUCGAUUAUGCUAUGGCCAGAGACAGUAGAGAAAGGAAUGAACGAAGAACAGAAAGGAACGCUUUGGUGACCAACCCUCUGCUUUCACCCCACAACCACAGAACCGUGGCAUUGGAUGGGACCCCAGGAAUUAAAAGUCCCAGGUGGCAGGCCAGAGAGAAGAUAUGAGUUGCCUGAGGCUACCCCUGACAGCAGAGAGGGCCCGCUCUAAUUCUCCGGCAAACUUCCAUGAUUCAUGGAGGCGGCACACCAGAUCCCUGGUCUCUCCUGGAAUGAGAGACAUUCAGAUGCGGCCCAAAGGACUCCCCCUAAAGGCUUGUCAAAGUGCCAGGUUUUAAGAUGACAGGGUGCCGGAUGCCCACCUUGCAGCUGCUGGACAGCAUGCUGGCUGUCAUACAGUGCCGCCUGAAGCUCCGUUUGCUGAAAUAAAGAGGAAGACAGAGCUCUUACCAGGGGGAGGCAGAGAUGGCACAGCAAGGGACAUGCCCCCAGAAUGGCACCACUGCCCCAGGACAGGCCCACCCAUGGGACCAGCAGAUGGAGAGGAUUCAAACCCAGAAUUCUUAACCAGUGCCUGGGAGAUCUUCCACAAUCUUAACAAUUACCCUCCACCACCCCUUGGGCCCUCUGUCCCCAGGAGCCUGGCCAGCCAAGACUCACAUCCUCAGUAG
This 1150-nucleotide long non-coding RNA is filed under the name Piliocolobus tephrosceles (Ugandan red Colobus). RNAcentral's name for it is "lncRNA (ENSPTEG00000024895.1)". The record is from RNAcentral. Lineage: Eukaryota; Metazoa; Chordata; Mammalia; Primates; Cercopithecidae.